Molecule: long non-coding RNA, 2359 nt
Organism: Myotis myotis
Lineage: Eukaryota; Metazoa; Chordata; Mammalia; Chiroptera; Vespertilionidae
Exons: 4
Source: RefSeq, a predicted model, not a curated record
AACUGGACAGAGGCCGGAGAGUCCUUUCCCAGCGGAGCCUCCCCGCCCCGCCCCAUCCCGGGCUCGCGAGCGCCGCUGCCACGUCCGCGGGCGGGAGGCCUGCGAUCGGGACCCGCUGGCGCCACGCCGCCGCCGUCCCCGGGCGGGGCAGCCGGUGCGGCUGCGAGGAGGCGGCGGAGGGGGCCCGGGGGGCCCGGGGAGCCCGGGGAGCCGGCGCCCGCACAGGCGCUCCCGCAGCCCCGAGCGCGCAGAGCCGCAGCGCCGCCUCGCUGCACCGUGGCCCGCAGGCGCCGCGCGGACCGCUCCCCCCGGCGCUCCCGGCACCGGCGCCCCCACCCGCCGGCCCCCGCGCACAGCCCGCCGCACACGCACCCGAGAAGGCCGCCAUCUUCGCGCGUCCUCCGCGGCCCGGCCCGCGCUCCCUCCCUCCGCACCGCCACGCUGCGCCGCGCGCUUCCGGCCCGGCCUGCGGCUUUGCAGUUCCGGGCGGGGACCCAGCCCCCGGACCAGGGUUCCGGCGGAGGAAAGGAGCCCCGACUCCUCCCCCUGAGUCCCCCUCCCCCCUUACGCCCGAGCGCGGACCGGUUCCGGGGUCCUUGGCCGGAGCGGUCAUCAGGAGACCGAGCUGGUAAUGACCGUGUGCUCGGAGCGUGCUCGUGUCCCCAGGGCCGCAUUUCCACGCACAAGGGGGCAGAAGAGGGUCGCUUUGCGGGAGUGAAUGGCCUCCCCAGAAGAAAGAGAGGAGAAAUACAUGCACGUUUGACCAGCCCCAACAUCUAUGCCAGGUAGUAUCUUGAUGAGGAUACUGCGAUUCAGCAAAGUUGCCUGACUUAGCGAAGGCCGCACAGCUGCUGAGGGAGCCACAUCUGCCUGCCUGCCUGCAGGUCCCUGCGUGUGACCGACCGGUCACCUGCUGCAGAAGGCACGGAGACGGGUUCUACCCUCGGGCACCAGGCAUCGGAUGGAGCCGUCUUCUGGGUUUGCAUUCCAGCUCUGCCAUUCGCUGGCUGAGUAACCUUAGUGCCUGGGCUUCAGCUGACUCAUCUGUAAAACAGUCUUGAGAAGUAGUACCGAUCUGGUAGGAUUGUUAUGUGGAUGGAAUAAAGUAGGCAAAGCCCCUAAAAGAGUGCAUAGCAGCACAUGCCAACAAUAGGGCCAGCUGGGCCUUGGAGAGUGGACCUGCAGCUCUCUGCACACAGAAUGUGCCCAAGAGAGCUGCCUAGAGAAGCUCCAUGAUGCAUCACACAGACAGCCCCCCCCCAAGAACCCAGCUGUGUGCAUCUUAUAACUGGAGGACAGGCAUCUAUCACCUGCCUCGUGUAAGUGGCCCUUGGAGAAGACCAGCAGAAGAAUCUCCAAGAUAAUCUCAAAAAGUACCCACAGAGUGGAAGAAUCAGCCUUGAGUGCGAUGGAGCCAGAGAGCACAGCAGCGCAUCACCAUGGCACCAAGUGAAGAAACCGAAAAUGAUGAGGACUUCAACGGGAAACAGUUUGCGGCAUGAAAUUCCACCGAGGAGCGAACAUCAUUAAAGUGGAGAGACAUUUCAUAAUUCCACCGCCAAUGGUCCGUAAUCCUUGGUGUUUAAUUUAGCUUUGCCAGAGAGGUCGGGUCCUAAUGUUUUAAUAGCUUCUACAUGUUCAGUUAGUACUUGGCCUUAUCAAAACACAUUAUUAAUUCCUCAUCGGCUUCACUGAGUCCUUGUUCUGUUGGUUAAUGUUUCCCCUGUCGUUUUUUAUUAGAGGAAGCUCAAGGAUAAAGUGAAGGACUUGGCCAUAAUUUCAUUACCACCGGAGAAAAAAAUCAGAGCUCACGAAUGAUCCACUUAUGGGGAGAACAUUUUCUUGAAUCUCGAUUAUUUUGCUGGAGGAAAUAAAUGAUUUUUUAAAGCUGCAGUCUCUCUUUUUUAAGCCAAAAGGGUUAAUCUGGAAUAGCCUCAACAUAACCAUGAAUAAUUCAUGCAGUCAAUACAAUUGUAGUACUCAGGGCCUACCUGCAACCUGGCUUUAAAAAGCCAUUGUCCCUGUCUGCAAAGAAUUACAGUAUUUUGGUUUUGUAGCUGCCUAUGGGAUUUUUGAAGGAUCAGUGUUAUCUGAGACUCCCCAGGCGACCCCAGACUGUGGACAUGAAUGGUAGUCAUCGCUGUAACGGGAAACACUGUCAUGUCACUGGUCCUGCUCCAGGUGGUGACACGGGAGCCUCAGUCUUUUGUAAACUCCCCUACCAGACCCUGCUGGGGAGCCCGGAGGCGUCUUGUGCGUGUUGGCAAACACGUGCAUUCCUCCUGGGCGCUGCCAGUCCGCCCCUUUGGAGCCGCUGUGGUGCCUCGUGGACCUGCCGGUGUGGCCUGCGCACCUGGGA